RNAcentral lists this long non-coding RNA (254 nucleotides) under Ananas comosus (pineapple). RNAcentral describes it as "long non-coding RNA (ACOM_LNC024012)". The record is from RNAcentral. Lineage: Eukaryota; Viridiplantae; Streptophyta; Magnoliopsida; Poales; Bromeliaceae.
ACUACUGCUGCCAGCUAGCAGGGAUACAGGGAGAAGGAAAGAAGGGGAGAAAAGAGAAGAGGAAAAAGAAGAGAAAAAAAAGAAGUGAAGGAGGUUAAAAAUUUUAGGUGAAGUGAACAAGAAAUGCAAAUGUUUAAUUAGAGGUUAGGUUCGCAUAUUGUGCCCUAGGCACAAAAAUCCUCGCCUGCUCCAACAGGAAUUAAACACAAACUUCACGAUGGUUCGUUGCAUCCAUUUUAUGUUGAAAUGAUUCC